This 10284-nucleotide long non-coding RNA is filed under the name Gossypium barbadense (sea-island cotton). RNAcentral describes it as "long non-coding RNA (GBAR_LNC016033)". The record is from RNAcentral. Lineage: Eukaryota; Viridiplantae; Streptophyta; Magnoliopsida; Malvales; Malvaceae.
GAACUUACUAAGCAUUAUAUGCUUACUUUGUUUAUUUCAUUUGUUUUAUAGUACUCGGAAGCUCGUAAAGGUUGGAAGUUGAUCGGAACAUCAUCAAACUAUUUCCUCUUCUCAUUUUGGUACAAUUAUAAAACUAAAUUGAAUUAUAAUGACAUGUAUAGAUUAUUUAGCCAAUGAUGACAUGAUAAUGUUUUGGUUGUAACUAGUCAUUUGAAUGGCUAGUGUUAGACAUAUUUUGUUGUAAUUAUAUAAGGCCUUAUUAUGCUUGAUACAUGUGUUGAAAUGGUUGAAUGCUGGAAGUCACAUAAGUAUGUUAAAGGUUGCAUCAAUUGGUAAAAUAUACUUGUAACACUUCUAACCCGUAUUCGUCACCGAAACAGGGUUUAGAAGCAUUACCAGGGUUUACCGACCAAACUCAAAUAUUUCAUAUUACUUUCAUAGCAGAAAUUAGUCAUAAAUUUAUCACAUCAUCUCUUAUAUGAGCCCUCGAGGCCCAAAACAUACAUUAGAAACAAGUCGGGACUAAAUUGGAAACUCGGAGAAUUUUUCGCAAAAUUUCAAAAAUUUCCAAGGUGCAGGGGACACACGCUCGUGGUCAGGCCGUAUGGCUCACACGACCAAGUGACACACCCGUGUUCUAGACCAUGUGGUAUUUGAAGUAGGGCACAUGGCCGUGUCUCUAGCCCGUGUAACUCUCUAACUUGUAAUACAUUUAAAUGCAGGGGUCACGCGGCCAAGCCACACAUCCGUGUGCCAAGCCGUGUGAUCAAUUUUGAGCAUUCUGUUUUGAAAUUUUAAGAUGUAGGGGACACACAGCCAGAACGCACGCCCAUGUGCUAGGCAUGACUGAGACGCACGCCCGUGUCUCUGUCCAUGUGGACAAAAUAAUGUCAUUUCCAAGCCUUAUUCUUCACCCAAUUUCACCUUCCACCUAUAUAAACAUUUAAACACAUUCAAGAGCCAAUUCAAGACAUUUAAACCUAGCCAAAUUCAAGUCUUAUGCAUGACAUAUUAAUACCUAUGAUCAAAUGUCCAACUUACCAAGAUAGCCUGAUACUUAUAAACAUGUUUUACCAAAUACACUAUCACAGACUAAUAUCCAAUAUAUUUACAUGAUUUUCCUCAUCCAACCCUUUAAACAUACUCAUCAAGCAUAUUAAGACUAUUUGCAUAUCAAAACAUAUCAUUUAAUAGCCAUUCCAAUGGUUAAUUUCAACCAACAUUAAAUUGCUAUCAAUGGUAACUUUAACCUAUACAUGUCAUUAUUACCAAAAUUAGUUUACUAUUUAUAUAGAUACCGAAAAGUCCAAGGGAUAGUGUGAUGUAGCUCUGACCAACUUCCAAACUUUACGAGCCUCCGAGUACUAUAAAACAGAAGAAAUAAGACAGAGUAAGCAUUUAAUUCUUAGUAAGUUCGUAUAAUGGGAAAUUAACUUACCAUUCAUUUAUUUAUAUAAUAAACAUGCAUAAUUCAUCCAAAGUAAUUUGACAAUUAGCCUAACACAUAUAACCUCAACAAACAUGUUAAUCAUGUAUUUCAUGUGAAUAAAAAAACAAGGAUGAGCUCAUCAGGUAUACAAAUAAUAGUUUCAUUUUGAUUUCACAUGUUCUCAUGUCAGAAUUUCAUCCGUUGAAUCAUUUGAAAUCUAGAUAGAUACUUGGGUAGUACACCUGAAGCGUACAACACUAUAAAUCUGUCAAUUCACAUUCGAGAGUGUUUUUAUGAGCACUUAAACGGAAAGCUCUCUCUCAAGCACUAUAACGGGAAGCUCAUUGAGUCUUGUAACGGAAAGCUUAUCCGGGCAAUAUAACGGGAAGCUCACAAAGAGCCUAUAACAAGUAGCUCCAAAGAGUAAUUAACGAGUAGUUCCGAAGAGCAACUAACAGGAAGCACCGGAUAGCCAUAUAACGGGAAGUUCAAGCGAGCACUACUGGAAAGCUCACAAAGAGCCUUUAAUCGGGAAGCUCACGAAGAUCCAUAUAACGAGACGCUCAUAAGAGCUGCGGUGUGCCCACAACACAUGUAGGGUCACAACCGAUCGGGAUGCUCCGAAGAGCAUUUAACGGGAAGCUUGCAAGAACACUAUAAUGGGAAGCUUGAGAGGGCUUGUAACGGGACGCUCUUUCGAGUUACGGUACGUCUGCAACAUAUGUAAGAACACUGUCAUUUCGGGAAACAAAACCCUGUAUCCAUCAAAUAUCAUUAUCCAAACGGGACUUGUUUAUUUAUUAGGGAUUUUUCAGUUACAAGAUCAAUUACAUACACAUAUAUGAUAUUUACACAAUUUACAUAUUCAACACUUAAUACAAGCAUAUAAAUAUACACAAUUAAGUUACACGAACUUAACUCGACAAUUGUUCGUGACUUGUAAAUUACUAAUCUGAUACUUUUUCUUUUCCACGAUCUAACUCCGUUUUUGAUCUAUCCAGAUCUAUACGAGUAAAUUUAACACCAAUUUAAUACAAGUUACAUUCAAUUCAAUCCAAGUCACAUCUUAGGCAAAAUUACCGUUUUACCCCUAUACUUUUAAUUAAUGAUGAUACCAUCCAUAGGCUCGGAAAAUAAAAUUCAUGCAAUUUAAUCAUUAUACCAAGCCUAGAUAUUUUUAUAUAUAUCAAUAUCAGCCCAUGAAAUUUCAAAAUUUUUCCAUGAAUUCAACAACUUUUCAAUUUAAUCCCUAAAUCAUGAUUUCAUCCAAAAUCUUUUAAUAAAAUACCUUUAAAUAUCCAUUAACAUAUCAAUUUCAUCAUAUAAUAACUAAAAUCAUAUAAAUUUAUCAACAGUAUCUUCCAAGACUUUCAACAAAAUAAAAAACUAAUGAAAUGGUUAGUUGGACCUAAUUGUAAAAGUCCCAAAACAUAAAAUUUCAAGGAAAGAGCAAGAAUUAAACUUACAUGAAGAAAAUAUUGAAAAACCAGCUUAAACCCUCUUCAAUGGUUGUUUUAGAACUAAAAAAUGAUGAUGAAAAUGUUUAAAAUUUAAAUUUCCCUUUUAAUUCACUUAAAUUUCGCAAAAUUUACAAUUUUGACCUUAUUUCACAUCAAUUUCUUGAUUUUUCUAUGCUUAUGCCGCCUCAGCCAUCCCAUGUGGGUCCAAUUGCCCUUUUAGUCCUCUUUUAUUCACUAUUUAAGCUAUUUAAUCACUAUUUAUUUAAUUAGUAAGUUUUACACUUUUUCCAAUUUAGUCAUUUUUAAUUAAUUAACUACCAAAAUGUUAAAAUUUUCUAACAAAACUUUAGUACUACCUUAAUGACACUCCAUAAAUAUUUAUAAAAAUAUUUAUAGAUCGGUUUAUAGGACCGAUAUCUCAAUACCUCUUUUCUAAAUCACUUAACGUAAUAAAGCCUUAUAAAACACAAAUUACUAAUUCAAAAAUCUUUUAAAAACCACAUUUGGCUCAUAAAUAUUAAAUAAUAAAAACUCAAGAGCUUAUUUUCCGGAUUUGAUGGUCUCGAACCACUGUUUUCGACAUCACUAAAAAUCGGGCUGUUACAAUACUAUUAUGUUUAUAUGGCCAAAUAGGUAAGAUUGAAUACUUGGAAAUAUAGGAUGUUAUGACAUGAAUUGAGCUUGAAAUUGGCUUGAGUUGAAGGUUUUAUUGUAACUUGUAAUUGUGCAAAAUUGGUUGGUUAGGUUGAUGGCAAGUUGGGUGAGAAAUGUGGCAUUGGAAAUGGCUUAAUUUCAUCCACACGGGUGGAGACACGGGCGUGUGUCUCAGUUGUGUGUGACACACAGCCAUGCACACGGGCGUGUGAUUUGUUCGUGUGUCCUUUACAUCUUACAAAUUGAGAAACAAAAUGCUUCGAAUUGCUCACACGGACAGAGACACGAGUGUGUGUCUCAGCCAUGUGUAUCACACGGGCGUGUGAACCUUGCACCUUAAUUAUGCAAGUCAGUAUGCUCACACGGCCUAGCACACGGGCGUGUGGCUCGGCCGUUUGACCAAGUCAGAAUACCCCUUUAAUUGGAUACAACCUGGGACACGGGUGUGUCACUUGGCCGUGUGAGCCACACGGUCUGGCCACACGGGCGUGUGUCCCCUGCACCCAGGAAAAAUUUUAAAAUUUGGCGAAAAAUUCUCUAAGUUCCCGAUUUAGUCCUGACUUGUUUCUAACGCAUAUUUUGCGUCUCGGGGGCCAUUUAAGGGACAACAUGAUUGAAUAUAUUUGAUUUCGGAUAUCAUUAGUAAACGAUAUGAGCUAACUGUAUUUGAUCUGUAAACUCCAGUAAUGCUCCGUAACUCUAUUCCGGCGAUGGAUAUGUGUUAAGAGUGUUACAAGAAAAAUGUAGAAUAUAUAUUUUUAUUCUUUUUAAUUUUGUACAAUAACCAUGUAUGCAUGUUCAUAUUAAUACUUAAAAAUUUAAAUUAUUUUUUAAUUCUAAUCACAAUAAACAUUGUCUUAAUUUGUCGAUAAUUUCAUAAGACUUUAAAGAGUGUCUAUGUCCAAACAAAACUUGCAUGAUGAUCAUAAUUUAUCUCUCUUGUAUUAAGAAAAUCUGUCGAAUCUAGCAAUAACCUCCGCUUUCUAUUUUAAUUCCUAAAUCCUCUAGGUUCAACAUUUAAAACCUAUAGCAAGUUUUUUAUUUUUUCUUUCAAUGAAAGCUAUAAGGAAAAAAGUGAUAGGUGAUUAACAUUUAAAGAUAAUUAUACUUUAUUAAAGUUUCGUUAAGAAAUUUCAAAGUUCUUGCUCCCAAGAGUGCUUGGUUGAGAAACCCUAGAGAUAGCAGUAACUACUGUGGCUGGGGAUGGAAGCAAGCGGUGGCGACGAUAGAGAGGAAGGGGAUGAGAUCGGUCUUCUUGCUGAAGAAUUAGUUCAACUAUCAGUCAAAGGAUCGUUGAUGGUACCAAGUUCCAAACCUACAUUGAUUUGUACGGUUUGGACGGGGAAAUUAUAUAACCCAGAUAGUUUUAGGGCUCAUAUGAAAAGUUUAUGGAAGACAAGAAAAAAGUUUGAAAUCAGAUUGGUGGGACAAAACUUAUUUCUAAUAAUUUUUGAGAUGGUAGAAGAUCUGGAGUUGAUUUUGGAGGGGAGACCUUGGCUCUUUCAUAAAAACUUAAUUUUAUUUGACAGGUUACACCAAGCGGUGGAAAGAGAUCAGAUAAAGUUAACUUCAUCCCCGUUUUGGAUAAAAAUUGAGUCGUGUUUCCCAGAGUUCGACAAGAAAUAUCUAUUGCAUGCCAUUGGUUCUACGUUUGGUGGGGUCCUCAGAUCUGAAAUUAGUGAAGAUUUCUGCCGACUCAGAGUUAAUUUGGAUGUUCAAAUAACACUUAGAAGAGGUAUUUUUGUUUCUAAUGCUUAUGUUAGUAAAGUUUGGAUACCCUUCAAGUAUGAAAACUUGCCAAUAUUCUAUUUUGAAUGCGGAAGAAUGGGGCAUGGGAUGAGUAAUUGCACCCAGCUAUUACCUGCAAGAAAAAAUAAAAUCAGUGAAAAUCCUCCUUAUUCUGUGGCCUUAAAAGCAGAAUCAAGAUUAAUUGGAAAAUAAAGUGAGAAAUUUAAUAGUUUGAAGAAACAGAUGGGGGUUCAGAGUUCUUAUAUCGGAGAAGAGAGAAUUUCACCCAAUAGUAUUAAAUGUGCUGAGAAAGGAAGCAAUGAAGAGGGGGCCCGCAGGAGAAUUUGAAAUUAAAAGAAGGGGAGGAGAUGCCAGAAGAACAGGAAGGUAUUUUGGAGGUAGAAGAAGCUGAGAAGGUGAAUUUAAAGGAAAUGGGGAAGAUGCUAAAAGAAUAUGCAGGUAUUUGGAGACAAGGGGAAGCUGAGAAGGUGAGUAAUUGUAAUAGAGAGAAAAGCCAAAAUCCAAAUCAAGAGAAACAAGAAAAAUGGAUAAGCAUUCAACAUGGCACAACAACGACAAAAGCUGGAAAUAAUACGAGGAAGAUGAAGCCCAUUGAUGCAGAUUUUACCAGUGAUCAUACAGGAAAAUGAGACAGAGAUGGAAUUAAAAGGUUGAAAUAGGAUACUUCAGACUACUACAAAGGCCCUGUGGAAAUGGUGACAGACACUAAUGAGCAAAUUGAAGUUCAAGAUUUAUUGAUAUCGGCGGCUGCUAAUAGGCAAGCCGACCGGACGCAAUGAAAACCAUCAGCUGGAAUGUUCGUGGAUUGGGGAGUCCACGAGCUGGAAGAAGGCAUCAUUACUUCCUCAAGCAGCACAAUCCCCAAAUGGUCUUCUUAAUGGAGACCAAAGUUGAUAGACAGAGGAUGGAAAAAAUCAGACAGAGAUGCGGUUUUAUGAAUGGUAUUGAUAUAGAAGCACAAGGUUCGAAAGGAGGAUUAUGCUUAGCAUGGAAAUGUGACACCAAAGUAAGUUUACGAAGUUUUUUUAGGAAUCACAUUGAUGUUCUGGUUGAAGAGGAACAGGGUAACAAAGAGUGGAGAUUUACAGGUUUCUAUGGCUCUCCAUAUGUCCACAAUAAGAGUGAUUCGUGGGAUUUACUGAUAAAUCUGAGGCAAGAUAACAGCCACCCAUGAUUGGUAAGUGGUGACUUCAAUGAGAUCAUGUAUUAUUUUGAGAAAUGUGGGGGUGCCCCAAGGGAAGAGACCAGAAUGAAGGUAUUUUGAGAGGUCUUAGAGAAUUGCCAUUUAGAAGAUUUGGGUUUUUCGGGAGUAUGGUUUACAUGGGAAAGGGGAAAUUUACCAGAGACAAAUAUUAGAGAAAGACUUGAUAGGGGGUGGUAAAUGAUAAAUGGAGGCUCCUUUUCCCAGCAGGUAGAGUUAACCAUCUACCCCACACAAUGUCAGACCACUGCCCACUUCUAAUUAACACAGAUGGCGAAAGCAUUUAUAAUGGCAAUUCAAAAUUUAAAUUUGAAGCGUGGUGGUUGAUGGAGGAUACUUGUGAAAAAAUAAUUAAAGAAUCUUGGGAGUCAGGAACAGGCCCAGUAGCUGAGAAACUUGGAAAGUUGCAAGCAGAUUUAUUAGAUUGGGCGAGAAGGAUUAAGAAAGGUCGGGAGGGGCUAAAGAAAAAGUUAACGAAGCAGCUGGAAGUGUUAAUGGGGAAAGAAAGGAAUGACAACACAAUGGCAGACAUUGUAAACACUAAGGUCCACCUAAAUAUGGAAAUUGAUAAGGAUGAAAUAUAUUGGGAACAAAGAGCAAGGGCAAAUUGGCUGAAAGUGGGUGAUAAAAAUACAGUUUUUUUCACAGGUUUACUACUUCUAGAAGACGUAUAAAUUCAAUAUCCAAAUUGGAGAAAUCUGUGGGCGGAGAAGCAACUGAGGAGAGUGAGAUUAAUGAUGUGGCCACCUCCUAUUUUCAGGAACUUUUCACGACAAAAGGAAGGGCGGAAUGUUCAUAUCUCCUAUCGUGAAUAAAGGAAAAUAUUUCAUCUGAUAUCAAUAGAGAGCUAAUGUUAACCUUUACAGCAGAAGAAUUGUAUGCGGCAUUAAAGGAAAUGGGACCAACAAAAGCUCCAGGAUAUGAUAGUUUUCCAGCCAUUUUCUUUCAGAAAUUCUGGCAUAUCGUAGGUAAGGAAAUAACCAAUCUUUGCUUGGAAUUUUUAAAUAACGGUGCAAGUUUUGGUAAUUUAAAUCACACCGACAUUGUGCUGAUCCCAAAAAUUCCAAAUCCUACUAGCAUAGUUAAUUUCAGACCUAUCAGUUUAUGUUUAGUAAUCUACAAAAUGGUGGCAAAAAUAAUUGCAACUCGACUACAAGCAGUUAUUAGAAGAUGCAUUGAUGCUGCUCAAAGUGCGUUCGUCCCGGGAAGGCUAAUAACAGACAAUGUGAUACUAGCUUAUGAGAUCUUACAUACUUUUCGGCAAAAGCGCACAGGAAAAAAAGGAUACAUGGCAGUUAAACUUGACAUGAGCAAAGCCUAUGAUAGGGUUGAGUGGGGAUUCUUGAAGGAAGUGAUGUUACGAAUGGGCUUCACACCAGAGUGGGUUAAGCUGAUUAUGACUUGUGUUUCCACAACAUCCUAUGCAGUUAAUACAAAUGGUAGAAGUGGAAGAGUUUUUUCACCGUCUCGAGGCUUACGUCAAGGAGAUCCGCUGAGCCCCUUUCUUUUUCUGAUUUGUAGUGAGGGGUUAUCAUCUUUAAUGAGAUUGGCUUCAGAAAAGGGACUGAUAAAGGGUGCAAAAGCAAGCAGAAGAGGACCAGAAAUUUCACAUCUACUCUUUGCAGAUGAUUGUAUGUUGUUUGGGGAAGCAUCUGAUAGGGGUGCCAGUAUACUAAAAGAAAUUUUGAAGGAAUAUGAAAAGUGUUCUGGACAGUGCGUUAAUUUCAACAAGUCUACCAUAUUUUUCAGCACCAAUACGUCAGAAGAAAAAAUGAAUGAAGUUUCGGCAAAAUUGGGGGUUAGGAUCUCAACAAACUUAGAAUGAUAUCUAGGGCUUCCAAACAUGGUUGGUCGACGAAAGAAAGAAUCCUUUCAGCAUUUAAAAGAAAAGAUUGCUACCAGGAUUGAUGGGUGGAGUACUAGAAUGUUAUCUCAAUGAGGUAAAGAAGUCUUUAUUAAAUCGGUGUUACAGGCCAUUCCAACGUACGCUAUGUCAUGCUUCUUAUUACCAAAGACUGUUUGUGGAGAAUUUGAAAAUAUUUUUGCUAAAUUUUGAUGGCAAAAAACGCAUGGUAGGAGAGGUAUUCAUGGGUGUCAGUGGAAGUACUUAUGCCGUCCUAAAGAAGAGGGUGGAUUGGGCUUUAGAAAUAUGGCUCAAUUUAAUGUUUCACUUUUAGCUAAGCAAGGAUGACGUAUUAUAAACAAUCCAAAUUCUUUAGUUGCGCAAGUAUUAAAAGCGAAAUAUUUUCCAAGUGUUGAUUUUUUAAACUCACAGUUGGGGAAUAAUAUACCGUAUACAUGGAAAAGUAUUUGGGCUGCUAAGGGCAUCCUAGCAGAGGGCUUAUGUUGGAAGGUGGGACGAGGUACAAAAAAUUUAAUCAGUCGUGAUUAUUGGAUUCCAGUUUUAUCGCGUGAUAGAUUACCAGUUUUAAGUUCAAAUUUGAAUGAUAGUAAAGUUGCAGAGCUAAUUGAUUCAAGUAGUAGAACAUGGAAACAAGAGUUGGUAGAGCAUACCUUUCCGGAGGAUGUAACAGAGAAGAUCCUCAGUAUCCCACUAGCUGAAACACCGCAUGAAGAUUUCCAAGUUUGGAGCGUUGAAGCAACGGGUGAGUUCACAACACGGAGCGCCUAUAAACUAUUACAAAGCAUUGAAAAUAACCCUGAAGCUUAUGCUUUACAAAAUGACUACAAGGACUUCUACAGAAAACUAUGGCUACUUGAUCUUCCUUCAAAAAUUAAAAUUACAGUUUGGAAUAUAUCUUGGAAUUUUCUAGCUACGCAAGCUAAUAUGCUACUUAGAAGACUGACGAACACGUCAGUAUGUCCUCGCUGUAGUUCAGGAACUGAAACUAUGGACCAUCUCUUCCGGGAAUGUCCUGCUACAAUAGCAGUAUGGAGAGAGUUAUCUUUUCAUAGGUUUUUGCAAGACAAUCAAAUAGGGUUUCUACAGUGGCUAACCUGGGUUUUCUCACAAAGCUCGACUCCUCAGCAUCGAAUCUUUUGUGUUGCAGUAUGGGCCAUCUGGGGAGACAGGAACAAUAGAUUGCAUAAAAAAGAUGGUAAAUCUGGAAAAGAAGUAGGGAGAUUUGUUCAUAGCUAUAUUUUAGAUCUUGAUGCAGUUGGUAAAAAUAGGUUGCAAUCUUCCAUAUCUGUAAAAAUAUGGACAAAGCCAGUGGACAAGGUAGUCAAAAUCAAUUUCGAUGCAGCAUACGACGGUAGACAAAGUAAAGCGGCUAUUGGGGUUGUGGCCCGCGAUAAGGAGGGUUCAGUUCUUCUAUCAUGUACAGAGGUUCAUCAAAGAGUUCCCUCAGCCUUUGGGGCGGAAGCAAUAGCGUGUCGAAAAGCCCUCCAGAUCGGCGUUAACAUGCAGUGGGAAAAAGUUAUUAUUGAAGGGGAUUCUUUAUCAAUAAUAAGAAAAUGUAAAACAAAAAGCCCCAAUAAAUCAUUAAUUAGUGCGUAUUUACAUGAUAUUCAUCAACUUCUGCUUAAAUUCAAGGAGUGUAGGUUUGAGCAUAUCCCAAGAUUAGCAAACAACCUUGCGCAUAUAUUAGCAAAUGAAGCGCUGAAGAGUAGUAGAGGAGCCUACCUGAUCGGACGAGUCCCUGAAGCGGCAGAAAUCCAAGCAGAAACUGAGAGGGCAAAAGAACCAGAUUGAAUGAAGAAAGCGAUAAAUGAAGGGAUGAGAGUAUAGAGAAGGGCAGACAUCAAAGUUAUUUCAGCAGCCCUAGAGUAAUCUCAAGCGUCUUGGAAGAGUAAAUAAAAUUGAAGAGAUAAGACGUUUGUAGUCUUUU